RNAcentral lists this ribosomal RNA (253 nucleotides) under uncultured bacterium. RNAcentral's name for it is "partial 16S ribosomal RNA". It matches the Rfam family "Bacterial small subunit ribosomal RNA", at positions 524 to 776 of the family's 1533-position model. The record is from RNAcentral.
UACGUAGGUGGCGAACGUUGUUCGGAUUUACUGGGCGUAAAGCGCGCGCAGGCGGACCGAUAAGUCAGAGGUGAAAUCUCCCGGCUCAACUGGGAGGGGCCCUUUGAUACUGUCGGUCUCGAGAUGCCUAGAGGAGAGUGGAAUUCCCGGUGUAGUGGUGGAAUGCGUAGAUAUCGGGAGGAACACCAGUGGCGAAGGCGGAGACCUGGGCCGAUACUGACGCUGAGGUGCGAAAGCGUGGGGAGCAAACAGG